CGCGCAGGCGGUCGUACAAGUCGCGUGUGAAAGCCCCCGGCUCAACUGGGGAGGGUCACGCGAUACUGUUCGACUCGAAGGCAGGAGAGGGAAGUGGAAUUCCCGGUGUAGUGGUGAAAUGCGUAGAUAUCGGGAGGAACACCAGUGGCGAAGGCGACUUUCUGGCCUGUUCUUGACGCUGAGGCGCGAAAGCUAGGGUAAGCAAACG
RNAcentral lists this ribosomal RNA (208 nucleotides) under uncultured bacterium. RNAcentral's name for it is "partial 16S ribosomal RNA". It matches the Rfam family "Bacterial small subunit ribosomal RNA", at positions 568 to 774 of the family's 1533-position model. The record is from RNAcentral.